Molecule: transfer RNA, 84 nt
Filed under: Rhodothalassium salexigens DSM 2132
Lineage: Bacteria; Pseudomonadati; Pseudomonadota; Alphaproteobacteria; Rhodothalassiales; Rhodothalassiaceae
Rfam family: tRNA
About the family: Transfer RNA (tRNA) molecules are approximately 80 nucleotides in length. Their secondary structure includes four short double-helical elements and three loops (D, anti-codon, and T loops).
Source: Rfam by way of RNAcentral
GCCCGCUUGGCGGAAUUGGUAGACGCACGGGACUUAAAAUCCCGGGGCCGCAAGGCCGUGCCGGUUCGAGUCCGGCAGCGGGCA